RNAcentral lists this ribosomal RNA (485 nucleotides) under uncultured bacterium. RNAcentral describes it as "partial 16S ribosomal RNA". It matches the Rfam family "Bacterial small subunit ribosomal RNA", at positions 28 to 523 of the family's 1533-position model. The record is from RNAcentral.
GACGAACGCUGGCGGCGUGCUUAACACAUGCAAGUCGAACGGUGAAAGCGGAGCUUGCUCCGCUGGAUCAGUGGCGAACGGGUGAGUAACACGUGGGCAACCUGCCCCUCACUUCGGGAUAACUCCGGGAAACCGGGGCUAAUACCGGAUAUGACCUCCUUGGGCAUCCUUGGAGGUGGAAAGUUUUUCGGUGAGGGAUGGGCCCGCGGCCUAUCAGCUUGUCGGUGGGGUAGUGGCUCACCAAGGCGACGACGGGUAGCCGGCCUGAGAGGGCGACCGGCCACACUGGGACUGAGACACGGCCCAGAGUCCUACGGGAGGCAGCAGUGGGGAAUAUUGCGCAAUGGGCGAAAGCCUGACGCAGCAACGCCGCGUGCGGGAUGACGGCCUUCGGGUUGUAAACCGCUUUCAGCAGGGAAGAAGCCGCAAGGUGACGGUACCUGCAGAAGAAGCACCGGCUAACUACGUGCCAGCCGCCGCAGUAA